Molecule: transfer RNA, 73 nt
Filed under: Stutzerimonas stutzeri
Lineage: Bacteria; Pseudomonadati; Pseudomonadota; Gammaproteobacteria; Pseudomonadales; Pseudomonadaceae
Description: Pseudomonas stutzeri tRNA-Ala
Rfam family: tRNA
About the family: Transfer RNA (tRNA) molecules are approximately 80 nucleotides in length. Their secondary structure includes four short double-helical elements and three loops (D, anti-codon, and T loops).
Source: RNAcentral
AGGGCCAUAGCUCAGCUGGGAGAGCGCCUGCUUUGCACGCAGGAGGUCAGCGGUUCGAUCCCGCUUGGCUCCA